This 1506-nucleotide long non-coding RNA is filed under the name Carassius auratus (goldfish). RNAcentral describes it as "lncRNA (ENSCARG00000023872.1)". The record is from RNAcentral. Lineage: Eukaryota; Metazoa; Chordata; Actinopteri; Cypriniformes; Cyprinidae.
AUGGCUGCUACUUGCCAGUUUUGUGCGGGUCCCCUUGACCCGCAGGACCCUCACCAGUUCUGUGUUUCCUGCCUGGGCCUCGCCCACGCCGAGGCAACUUUCACGGAUGACACGUGCGCUCACUGUGCCGAGCUGCCAGUGCGCGCCCUCAGAGCCAGAAGAGAAGUGGCUCAGACAACAGCAGGGAUGAGGCUCACUGCCGCCAGCGAGCCGCUGGUGGGCUCUCCCCCGCCCCAAGACGAGUUCGACGCUGUCAGCUUCACGGGCGAUAGCUUCCCCCCCCCCAAGGCCGUCGCAGACUUCAUCUCCUUCGGAGCUGGCGAGGAAGACGACUCCAUGUCAGAGAAGGAUUGGGUGAUUCAGUCAGACCGCCCCGAACACGGGGGCCCUGCAGACCUCCAGGAGGAGCUCGUCAGGAUCCUCGGCAAGCCCGUCACGGAGCUGGACCUCUCCUGGAACGCACCUGACGAGCCUGUGAAAAGUAAGCUGGGCACGUGGUCUCUCCAGUGGAGCCGCCGCCAGGCCCCAUCGAGGAGAAGAACCCCGUUCUUCCCAGACUUGCAUGAGCACGUGGUGAAUUCGUGGGCUGCACCCCAAUCAGCACGCCCCCUCUCUGCCAUGCAAGCCAUGUUUGCGCACGUGGACGGGGCGGAGGCCCACGGGUAUGUGCGCAUGCCCCCUGUCGAGGAGACCGUUGCCGUGCACCUGUGCCCGUCUUCCUCAGCGUUGGGUUCCGACCGCAGCCUGCCCUCCAAGCCGUGCAGGUUUACAGCCCACCAGGCAGACAAAGCCUAUGCUGCUGCAGGGGAGGCAGCUUCUGCCCUUCACGCCAUGGCUAUACUCCAGGUGUUCCAGGCGAAGCUACUUCAAUCCAUCAAUGACGGCGUGGUUGAUGCAGACGUCAUCAGGGAUCUGCGCGCGGCAACUGAUCUCGCACAGAUGGCUACCAAUUGCUCCGCUCAAGCAAUCGGCCGUUCCAUGGGGUUUAAGGUCGUCCUUAACAGGCACCUAUGGUUAACCCUAGCUGACCUGAAGGACAUGGACCGCAGGAUGCUUUUAAACACUCCAGUCACUCCCUCCGGCCUCUUUGGUGACGCCGUGGAGUCGGUCAUGGAGCGUUUCUCUGAGACGCAGAAGCACGCCAAAGCAAUGAGCCACAUUAUGCUUCGUCGCUCACUUCAGUCUUCAUCCGCGAGGUCCCGCUCUUCUUCGGGGCCUCGCCAGGCCCAAGGACUGGCUGGACAGCCCGCCGUGGCACCCCGCCCCGAGCCGAAUGUCCGUUUCGGCCGAAACAAGCAGUGGUCAGGGCCUGGGAAGAGACAUCAGAGUAGGAAGAGGAGUGCGUGCCGCGAGAGAGCCAGCGCAUCUUCCUCGGCUGCAAAGCCAUCUUCCUUACGGGCCGCUCAACAGGAAGAGAGAGCACGCUGGUGGCCCCGCCCCCAAGUGCAGUGUUCAACUGCUUCGUGUCCCCCAGGUUCCUUUGGGCGACAAUCAAAAUGUGUUUAA